AGUCACUGACAUUAGAUACCCCCUGUAGUCCAGGGUGUAAACGCUGCAGACUUGGUGUUGGAAGCCCUUUGGGGGCAUUCAGUGCCGGAGAGAAGUUGUUAAGUCUGCUACUUGGGGAGUACGUCCGCAAGGAUGAAACUUAAAGGAAUUGGCGGGGGAGCACCGCAACGGGAGGAGCGUGCGGUUUAAUUGGAUUCAACACCGUAAACUCACCAGGGAAGACUGUUACAUGAAGGCCGAGAUGAAGACUCUGCUAGAUUUUCAG
This 265-nucleotide ribosomal RNA is filed under the name uncultured archaeon. Its description in RNAcentral is "partial 16S ribosomal RNA". It matches the Rfam family "Archaeal small subunit ribosomal RNA", at positions 718 to 982 of the family's 1478-position model. The record is from RNAcentral.